RNAcentral lists this long non-coding RNA (2594 nucleotides) under Callithrix jacchus (white-tufted-ear marmoset). Its description in RNAcentral is "lncRNA (ENSCJAG00000085804.1)". Lineage: Eukaryota; Metazoa; Chordata; Mammalia; Primates; Cebidae. The record is from RNAcentral.
AAAGUGCUGAGAUUAUAGGUAUGAUCCACCAUGCCUGGAAAAAAAGUCAUCAGUUCAAUCCAAAGUUUGAUUAGUUUUCUUUUUCCCCAAAGGUGUCUCCACCCUCUUCAAGUUAUGCCUUUGGAAUGGACCAUAAAACCGCAUUUCAAUUCUGGACCUGUGGACCUGUGAAGAACUAUUGAAACAGCUGUAGAGGAACUGUACUGGAGGCAGUAAUGGCUCCUUUAGUGGCAGAGAAUAGAAAGCUCUUGAAAACAAAGCCUAUUGUCAGGAGACUUGCACCCAUCCUGGCCUACUUCCAAGUAAUAUGUACAACAAAAAUAUGGAAUAAUUCUCAGAAGCUCACAUUUAAACAUGGGAUAAUGUGGAGGCACAGGGUAAAAUAUUUGUCUGGUUAGGAGCAUGAGUUUCUCGUCGUAAUUCAGUGGAGGUAAGUGGAUGCUUUGGAAAAGCAUAAAGUGUCACUUUAGUUUCACUUGCCUGAGGUAUCAUUUAAUCAGCAAGCACAGUUAAUAAUUUUGCUUUUCUAUUUGUCAAGAUCUCAAUAUUUUUUCAAUAUGAAGUCUGCUCCAGUGUACUUUACAUGACACUUUAUAAUUAGUGGUACUUGAGAAUUUGGCAGUUUUAAAAAUUCAUGCAACAUUCUUAGUUACAAUUUAUAAAUGAUUUUAAAGUAUAAUUAACAUUCAUCUUUACAAGUUAUAUGCAAACAAAUAUGCAAAUUCAGAAAUAAAUAUGCAAACAUAUAAAAUGUUUUUGAAUUAAGUAGUCCUUAACAUUUUUAAUGAAAUCAAUAUUUUAUUCAUAUUUUGCACACAAUUUUGAGUACUUACUGAUUUGGGGGGUCUGCAGCAUAUAUGCUUUUGCAUAUUGUAGCCUCUAACUACCAGCAACAGGAAGGAAAUGAGAAUGAAGUUUUUUUUCUUUUCUUUGGAGACGAAAACUGAAGGCUGAUUUAGUAGAAAAAUCCCGUAGAUGCUGUUGAGUGGAUUAUCGAUGCAAUUAAAAUGGCUCCUUAAACUCUUAACCUUAUAAGGAACUUCUGCUUCCUUAGAUGACAAAACUCUUAUGGAUCUCAAGAAGACAAAGUGGAGGGCAUCAGCCAAUUGCCCCCUACUUUCUCAUGUGGCUACAAAGGCCAACAGAUUGAGUCAGUAACUAUGUAUUUUUAACAUGUUAAAGUCUGAAAGCAGAAGAAGGCAGAAUUCAGUACAAAAUGAACAAAUAAUUAUUGGGAAAAUGCACCUUAUAUGGAGAAGUCGCUAUGCAAGAGUAUAGAUUCAAAAUUUAGUCAUUCUGAUUUUAAAAAUGAUCUCUUCUAAAGAGUUAACUGAUUGAAGAUCUUAGUUCACUCAUUCAACAAACGCUCAUCUUUUUAGGCUCCGUUUCCAUUCGUCCUCUGCAAGGAAGAUUUUUCAGUACCAGAGUCCUCUGUCUCUGAAAUCUUGUUGGAUUAUGAGUUAACCGGGCAAUGGUUUUUUUUAUGUGAACACCAUGGGCAAGGAAUACGUUCAGUGCUAGUGGGAGUCCAAAGAAGUAUCAAAUAAUUAACUAGCAUCACACAGUUUAGCUAAAAUGUUCUCCAAUUUUUACAGGUAUGCAUGCUUUAUUAUCAUUUUCAAAUGAGAAAAUUCUUGAGGGAAAAACUUUAUUUAUACAAGAGACAAUGAGAAGAAUUUGUUUUUUGAGUGGCAUCUCUGAUGAAUUAGUAGUUGCUCACUGGUAUGCUCUGUAAAGAAUGGUUCUGAGGCUGUGGCAUUAGCAGUACCAGCACUGCCAUGUUUUUGUUAUUCUUGCUCAAUCUUUUUUCUAAGAAUUAGCAUUUCUUUUACUAGAGAAUGAGGGCUUCAUGACUCAUUUAAUUUCCCCUUGUAACUGCUAGAAAUUCGGCAGAGAGUUUUGAUAUAAAUUUCUUCUUUUAUUGCUUGACUUUUUUCUUUUAUUUUGUAUGUCAUGUUACUGUACUGUAGUUCAUUUUUGAUAGCUGGUUGCUUUAAGUCUUUUUGAAAGAAACAAAUCAUUACAUAUACUUACUUCUUUCUAUAAGUUUUAUGGUGCCUAGCAUAGGUCCAGGACCCUAAGGAGGCAUAGAAUAAAUGCACUUUGAAUGGAGAACACUGAAAGGUCCCAUAUGGUAGAUGUACAACGAUGCAUGAUGCAUGAAUGAGGAAGUGAAUGAAUAAAUGAGUUCAGACGGAAUUUGAACCAUGAGAAAAAUCAUGAUGGUUUGUGAUUUAUCAAGGAAAGCAGCUGAUGAAUCUUGGCUGAUGCCUUAAAAAGCACAGAAUGAUGAUUGGAAGAAGAGGAAAUGGCUUAGAGGAGAAUAGAGGUUUAGCAAGAAGAAUUUAAAAGGACAGGAGCCAUCAUGUAAUAAUAUUUGAUUCCUCUCUGUGGGCAUAUUUGCUUGUGUGGAAUAUAAAAUUUCAGAGAGCAAGAAUUUUUAAACAUUAAUUUAGAACACAUUAGUGUGGCCUUCCACAGAGUAUACCUGGGUGUUUUUAGGUUGUUUGAAGAUGACCCGCUUACCUAUAUUAUUUCAAGUUCAAAAAUUAAAAAUUAUAGGGUAUGAUAAUUUGAACUUGUAGAUUUAGGGU